CCUUCUUCAGCCCAGCAUGUGUUGCAAUAGUAUUUAAAAGGGUGAAAGAACAAAGAACUAUAACUUUGCCAUGCAGAAAUGUUUACAACUAAAAUACGAGUCUCCAAGUAUAAGACAUUUCUCAAACCUCAAAUCCAUCAAUAUCCCUGAUUCGAGUUCUUUGGAGGUACACUUAUCCACCUUCUUUUCAACAAUUGGUGACAGCAAAAGCUGAGGAUAUCAGGAUAAUGAAAGAAACAGCCUCCCAUUACCAAAGACAAGGAAACAAUAUUGCUUUACAUUGAACAGUCUGGAUGAAUGUCCUACAUGAGAAAUUAACCACACACCCACGCACC
This is a non-coding RNA of Pelobates cultripes (western spadefoot toad), 335 nucleotides long. The record is from the annotation of a GenBank genome assembly. Lineage: Eukaryota; Metazoa; Chordata; Amphibia; Anura; Pelobatidae.